This 305-nucleotide ribosomal RNA is filed under the name uncultured bacterium. RNAcentral describes it as "bacterial SSU rRNA". It matches the Rfam family "Bacterial small subunit ribosomal RNA", at positions 333 to 635 of the family's 1533-position model. The record is from RNAcentral.
UCAGUCCUACGGGGGGCAGCAGUGAGGAAUAUUGGUCAAUGGCCGGAAGACUGAACCAGCCAUGCCGCGUGAAGGUCAGUGCCCUAUGGUCGUUAACCUUCUUUUGUGCGGGAGCAAUAAUGGUCACGUGUGGCCAGACGAGAGUACCGUACGAAUAAGCAUCGGCUAACUCCGUGCCAGCCGCCGCGGUAAUACGGGGGAUGCACGCGUUAUCCGGAUUUAUUGGGUUUAAUGGGUGCGUCGGCUGUGCGGUAAGUCAGCGGUGGAAUGCCCCCGCUCCCCGGGGCGCAGUGCCAUUGAUACUG